This 300-nucleotide unclassified non-coding RNA is filed under the name Hevea brasiliensis (rubber tree). Lineage: Eukaryota; Viridiplantae; Streptophyta; Magnoliopsida; Malpighiales; Euphorbiaceae. The record is from RNAcentral.
AGAUCAUCUACUUUUAUUUUUGGAUUAAUUACUAAAACCCUCUUAAAGUCUGCCUCAAAUAACAAUUUGGUCCAGGCUAUUUCAAAAUUAGCAAUUUCAUAAAUAAUAGUUCAGGGGCUAAAGUACAAAUAAAUUUUAAAGACUGAACUAUAAUAUUUUUUAAAUCAUCAAGGUAUAUAGUUGAAAAUUUUGAAAUAAACCUCACUUUCUGAAACUACUAGCUCAUAACAAAUCUCAGUGAUUAAAAAUGCUAAUUUUGAAGCAGCAUGGAUCAAAAGUGUAUUUUUUGGCAAAUCUCAA